This 407-nucleotide unclassified non-coding RNA is filed under the name Hevea brasiliensis (rubber tree). The record is from RNAcentral. Lineage: Eukaryota; Viridiplantae; Streptophyta; Magnoliopsida; Malpighiales; Euphorbiaceae.
CGUAUCCUUCAUAUGGAUCUGCAUCAGGAGCUGAGGGGUACAAUCAGGCAAUGCCUACUUCUGGCCCCGGCUAUCCACAGCAAGGUAGCCAGCCAGUUCCAUCUUAUGGUCAGCCUGGUGGACAACAGUCAACUGGCUACGUGCAAGGUCCAACUGGUGGUUAUGGAUCAUACCCAUCUUCACAACAAGGUUAUCCAGAACAGCCAGCUUCAAACAAUGCAGGUUAUGGGUAUCAAGCGACUCAAGAUCCUGCUUAUGGCAGUGUCCCUGGGGCAACCUAUAGUGCACCACCAAGUGGCCAGCAGGCUUAUGCUCAGCCAACAGCAACUCAACCAAGUUAUGAUCAGUCAGUUCCUCAGUCAGGUGCAUAUGGAGCGGCUCCAGGGAGUGCACCAGUUGGGUAUGGG